UACGUAGGUGGCAAGCGUUGUCCGGAUUUACUGGGUGUAAAGGGCGUGUAGCCGGGCUGACAAGUCAGAUGUGAAAUCCGGGGGCUCAACCCCCGAACUGCAUUUGAAACUGUUGGUCUUGAGUAUCGGAUAGGCAGGCGGAAUUCCUAGUGUAGCGGUGAAAUGCGUAGAUAUUAGGAGGAACACCAGUGGCGAAGGCGGCCUGCUGGACGACAACUGACGGUGAGGCGCGAAAGCGUGGGGAGCAAACAGG
This 253-nucleotide ribosomal RNA is filed under the name uncultured bacterium. Its description in RNAcentral is "partial 16S ribosomal RNA". It matches the Rfam family "Bacterial small subunit ribosomal RNA", at positions 524 to 776 of the family's 1533-position model. The record is from RNAcentral.